UGGGGAAUAUUGGACAAUGGGGGGAACCCUGAUCCAGCGACGCCGCGUGAGUGAAGAAGUAUUUCGGUAUGUAAAGCUCUAUCAGCAGGGAAGAAAAUGACGGUACCUGACUAAGAAGCCCCGGCUAACUACGUGCCAGCAGCCGCGGUAAUACGUAGGGGGCAAGCGUUAUCCGGAUUUACUGGGUGUAAAGGGAGCGCAGACGGUUUUGCAAGUCUGAAGUGAAAGCCCGAGGCUUAACCUCGGAGUUGCUUUGGAAACUGUAUAACUAGAGUAUCGGAGAGGUAAGUGGAAUUCCUAGUGUAGCGGUGAAAUGCGUAGAUAUUAGGAGGAAGACCGGUGGCGAAGGCGGCUUACUGGACGAAAACUGACGUUGAGGCUCGAAGGCGUGGGGAGCAAACAGG
RNAcentral lists this ribosomal RNA (404 nucleotides) under Verrucomicrobiota bacterium. RNAcentral describes it as "Verrucomicrobia bacterium partial 16S ribosomal RNA". It matches the Rfam family "Bacterial small subunit ribosomal RNA", at positions 355 to 776 of the family's 1533-position model. Lineage: Bacteria; Pseudomonadati; Verrucomicrobiota. The record is from RNAcentral.